This is a small nuclear RNA of Pteronotus mesoamericanus, 140 nucleotides long. RefSeq annotates it as U4 spliceosomal RNA. Lineage: Eukaryota; Metazoa; Chordata; Mammalia; Chiroptera; Mormoopidae. The record is from RefSeq and is a predicted model, not a curated record. The transcript has a single exon.
CAUUUUACACAGUGGCAGUAUCGUAGCCAAUGAGGUUUAUCCGAGGCAUGAUUAUGGCUAAUUGAAAAAAUAAAUUUGCAUACAAAUAUCAAGAAUUUACAUCAAGAAUUUUAAGGUCUUGUGUAAAGUCUUUUAGAAGU